Molecule: small nuclear RNA, 106 nt
Organism: Fukomys damarensis (Damara mole-rat)
Lineage: Eukaryota; Metazoa; Chordata; Mammalia; Rodentia; Bathyergidae
Source: Ensembl
AUGCAGUCACUUUGGCAGCAUGUAUACCGAAGUUGGAACGAUGCAGACAUUAGCAUGGCCCCUGAGCAAGGGUGACACACAAAUUCAUGAAGCAUUCCAUAUACUU